Long non-coding RNA from Sinocyclocheilus grahami, 224 nucleotides. RefSeq lists it as uncharacterized. The transcript has 3 exons. NCBI's taxonomy places the organism in Eukaryota, Metazoa, Chordata, Actinopteri, Cypriniformes, Cyprinidae. The record is from RefSeq and is a predicted model, not a curated record.
AACAACAACAUGGAGCUCAAGAUUCUCCUGAACGAUGAAGUUUUUGUGGAUUUCUUCAAUACAUUUCUAAGUCUUCCAGUGUUUGGGCAAACCCCUCUCUACAUGCUCAAAGAAAACAAGUGGUUAAUGUGGCCGAAUGUGCCCUUUGCUCAGGUGAACACUGGAGCAUUUCUGAAAUGGUUAGACACACAUCGGAUGGUUUGCUUCAAACAAACGGAGCUCUA